Molecule: ribosomal RNA, 445 nt
Filed under: uncultured bacterium
Lineage: Bacteria
Description: bacterial SSU rRNA
Rfam family: Bacterial small subunit ribosomal RNA
Source: RNAcentral
GAUGAACGCUGGCGGCGUGCUUAACACAUGCAAGUCGAGCGAAGCGCUUAAGUUUGAUUCUUCGGAUGAAGACUUUUGUGACUGAGCGGCGGACGGGUGAGUAACGCGUGGGUAACCUGCCUCAUACAGGGGGAUAACAGUUAGAAAUGACUGCUAAUACCGCAUAAGACCACAGGGUCGCAUGACCCGGUGGUAAAAACUCCGGUGGUAUGAGAUGGACCCGCGUCUGAUUAGCUAGUUGGUGGGGUAACGGCUCACCAAGGCGACGAUCAGUAGCCGACCUGAGAGGGUGACCGGCCACAUUGGGACUGAGACACGGCCCAAACUCCUACGGGAGGCAGCAGUGGGGAAUAUUGCACAAUGGGGGAAACCCUGAUGCAGCGACGCCGCGUGAAGGAUGAAGUAUUUCGGUAUGUAAACUUCUAUCAGCAGGGAAGAAAAUGAC